RNAcentral lists this ribosomal RNA (253 nucleotides) under uncultured bacterium. Its description in RNAcentral is "partial 16S ribosomal RNA". It matches the Rfam family "Bacterial small subunit ribosomal RNA", at positions 524 to 776 of the family's 1533-position model. The record is from RNAcentral.
UACGUAGGGUGCAAGCGUUAAUCGGAAUUACUGGGCGUAAAGCGUGCGCAGGCGGCUUUGCAAGACAGAUGUGAAAUCCCCGGGCUCAACCUGGGAACUGCAUUUGUGACUGCAAGGCUAGAGUACGGUAGAGGUGGAUGGAAUUCCGCGUGUAGCAGUGAAAUGCGUAGAUAUCUGGAGGAAUACCGGUGGCGAAGGCGGCAUCCUGGACCGGCAUUGACGCUGAGGAGCGAAAGCUAGGGGAGCAAACGGG